GUCCAAUUUUACUGCUUACACUGUUAUUGGGACAGGAGUGGCGGAUGAGUUCCAUACAUAUGUUCUUGAAAUUCCUGUCUUUAGCAGCUGUUUACUUGACUGUCUUCCUCAUGGACAAAGCAGGACUGAGAGGUGCUUUUUCAUUGAUCUUCAUCCCUGCUACUUUGACUGUCCAACCCAAGAUUUAAAAGGUUUUUGUGAGAAGAAAAUGCAACUGAUGGAAUUUUCUGCUGCUUAAGAACAGAACAAGGUUGUGUGUAUAUAGAGCCUUUGACCUCAACUGAAGUACAGCUCUGCUUCUGAUGACUGGACAGAAGUAUAACAGCACAAAGCAAGCAAAGAAAGUUGAUGUGAAGACUGCAAAGCUGCUUUCCCUGGUCAGUAUGGUGAAGACUUUCCCUUUGAGAACCCAGGUUUGGAAAAUAUAUACAGUUCACAGCAGAGAAAACUAUUUUCCUUUCCAGAAUGCCUAAGGAUAUUGCUAUGAAUACAGAGUCAAGUGCUGUUCCUAAUAAAAUUUUCAUGGUACAGAAGAACUUAUGACUU
RNAcentral lists this long non-coding RNA (546 nucleotides) under Anser brachyrhynchus (Pink-footed goose). RNAcentral describes it as "lncRNA (ENSABRG00000018001.1)". Lineage: Eukaryota; Metazoa; Chordata; Aves; Anseriformes; Anatidae. The record is from RNAcentral.